This is a long non-coding RNA of Homo sapiens (human), 1906 nucleotides long. Ensembl annotates it as phosphatidylinositol 4-kinase alpha pseudogene 1. Its record names the gene PI4KAP1. Lineage: Eukaryota; Metazoa; Chordata; Mammalia; Primates; Hominidae. The record is from Ensembl.
GACGUCACAAGCUUCCAAGAUGGCGCUGGGCGGGCGGCUGUGAGCGGCGCUCGGGGCGCGCUAGGCGGGGAGCCGAGCCGGGCUGGCGGCAGGCGGACGGGGCGGGCGCGUGCGGCGCGAGCCGGGCGCUGAGGACAAGGGCCGCUGGUAGGGCCGGCCGGCCGGCGGGCGGAGCGCCGCCGCCGACGCACACGAGGUGACCAGGCAUUGAUGCACCCCCAGGAAGGCCACGGGCUCAGGAGGCCCCCCCGCCCCGCUGGCUGCUGCUCACAUGGUGUCUGGGCCCUUGGCACUCUGUUCAUGCGGGAGAUGGCAGGGGCUGGCACAUGACAGUGGAGCAGAAAUUUGGCCUGUUUUCUGCUGAGAUAAAGGAAGCAGACCCCCUGGCUGCCUCGGAAGCAAGUCAACCCAAACCCUGUCCCCCCGAAGUGACCCCCCACUACAUCUGGAUCGACUUCCUGGUGCAGCGGUUUGAGAUCGCCAAGUACUGCAGCUCUGACCAAGUGGAGAUCUUCUCCAGCCUGCUGCAGCGCUCCAUGUCCCUGAACAUCGGUGGGGCCAAGGGGAGCAUGAACCGGCAUGUGGCGGCCAUCGGGCCCCGCUUCAAGCUGCUGACCCUGGGGCUGUCCCUCCUGCAUGCCGAUGUGGUUCCAAAUGCAACCAUCCGCAAUGUGCUUCGCGAGAAGAUCUACUCCACUGCCUUUGACUACUUCAGCUGUCCCCCAAAGUUUCCUACUCAAGGAGAGAAGCGGCUGCGUGAAGACAUAAGCAUCAUGAUUAAAUUUUGGACCGCCAUGUUCUCAGAUAAGAAGUACCUGACCGCCAGCCAGCUUGUUCCCCCAGCUGACAUCGGCGACCUCCGGGAGCAGUUAGUAGAGGAGAACACAGGCUCCUUGUCGGGCCCAGCGAAGGACUUUUACCAGCGGGAGUUUGAUUUCUUUAACAAGAUCACCAACGUGUCGGCUGUCAUCAAGCCCUACCCUAAAGGCGACCAGAGAAAGAAGGCUUGUCUGUCGGCCCUGUCUGAAGUGACGGUGCAGCCAGGCUGCUCCCUGCCCAGCAACCCUGAAGCCAUUGUGCUGGACGUCGACUACAAGUCUGGGACCCCGAUGUAGAGUGCUGCAAAAGCCCCAUAUCUGGCCAAGUUCAAGGUGAAGCGAUGUGGAGUUAGUGAACUUGAAAAAGAAGGUCUGCGGUGCCGCUCAGACUCUGAGGAUGAGUGCAGCACGCAGGAGGCCGACGGCCAGAAGAUCUCCUGGCAGGCAGCCAUCUUCAAACUGGGAGACGACUGCCGGCAGGACAUGCUGGCCCUGCAGAUCAUCGACCUCUUCAAGAACAUCUUCCAGCUGGUCGGCCUGGACCUCUUUGUUUUUCCCUACCGCGUGGUGGCCACUGCCCCUGGGUGCGGGGUGAUCGAGUGCAUCCCCGACUGCACCUCCCGGGACCAGCUGGGCCGCCAGACAGACUUUGGCAUGUACGACUACUUCACACGCCAGUACGGGGAUGAGUCCACUCUGGCCUUCCAGCAGGUAGCCAGGGUGGCCACAGGCCGGGGAAAGUCGUGUGCGCUCCACCCUACCCCAGCCACCCAUACCCAGCCUCUACCCACACCCUGCUCUCCUCAGUCAUCCUUUGUUAAGGGUUAAAACCAGGGCACCUGGGCUGGGCACGGUGGCUCACGCCUGUAAUCCUAGCACUUUGGGAGGCCGAGGCGGGCAGAUCACGAGGUCAAGAGAUCAAAACCAUCCUGGCCAAAAUGGUGAACGCUGUCUCUACUAAAAAUACAAAAAUUAGCUGGGCAUAGUGGCACGCGCCUGCAGUCCCAGCUACUCAGGAAGCUGAGGCAGGAGAAUCGCUUGAACCCAGGAGGCAGAGGUUGCUGUGAGCCGAGAUUGCACCACUGCAC